UACGUAGGGGGCUAGCGUUGUCCGGAAUCAUUGGGCGUAAAGAGCGUGUAGGCGGUUCGGUAAGUCCGCUGUGAAAGUCCAGGGCUCAACCCUGGAAUGCCAGUGGAAACUGCCGAGCUAGAGUCCGGAAGAGGCGAGUGGAAUUCCUGGUGUAGCGGUGAAAUGCGCAGAUAUCAGGAGGAACACCGGUGGCGAAGGCGGGUCUCUGGGCCGAUACUGACACUGAGAAGCGAAAGCGUGGGGAGCGAACAGG
RNAcentral lists this ribosomal RNA (253 nucleotides) under uncultured bacterium. RNAcentral describes it as "partial 16S ribosomal RNA". It matches the Rfam family "Bacterial small subunit ribosomal RNA", at positions 524 to 776 of the family's 1533-position model. The record is from RNAcentral.